Dreissena polymorpha is the source of this 2064-nucleotide long non-coding RNA. RefSeq lists it as uncharacterized. The record is from RefSeq and is a predicted model, not a curated record. The transcript has 2 exons. NCBI's taxonomy places the organism in Eukaryota, Metazoa, Mollusca, Bivalvia, Myida, Dreissenidae.
GGUUACAUUACACUAAAUCAUUGUGUAUCCCUCCGUGGUCCAUUCGAAAGUAGUGCCUAUUUCUAAAGAGUUCCUUUUCUCUUCUUGAAUAUAAGCCAUUUAACAAUGUGAGACAUGUCUUUUGUGGUUAUUUGUAAUAUCCUGUAUGUGUCUGGAGUACUUUGAUGCCUUGGAUUGGAAGCUAACUUAAAAGAUGGACUUUUGAGGGUGUGUUUUCUAUUGUGUGGGGCUUUUGUCGAAAUUAGGAUUCCGAAACACGUUUUUCAACGGUGGGUUCAUUCGACAGCGAUUUACUUUCUUAGAAGUUGCGAGACGGUAUGUUUUUGAUUGCAAUUAUUGGAAGAGGACAGAUCCAUCUUUAAAAUGAUACCAGGUUCGGAAAAAUUGAUACGUCGAAAAGGCAAGAAAAAUGCUGUGAAAGUUGUCAGUUUUAUAAUGGGACCCUAUGGGAAUCGGAAUUAGUGUAAUAUAACCUUAAAAAAGCACAUUUACUGCAAUGUCAAGGUCACAUUGAUUCGUCUGCAAUCGAGACAAGUAGAACAUGAAUUUUAAUGAAUGUUUUGAUGAUUUGGGUGCUAAAAUAGAUGAGAGAUGUCAAUAUUUUGGUUCAAAUGGAUGUUUUAGGUGGUUUUGGACUGUUCCGGAUGGGAGGGGGACCUGGUAUGGACAAGUAAGGGUUACAUUUCCAACAAAUCUUGAAUGUAAAUAUUAUUAUGUCCAAAGAUUGAAGUUUCAGGUGGAGAGCAAGAUGAAAAAUAUGCCAAAUCACAUGAAUGCAACCCAUUUAUGCCAUUUUUCUCUUUGUUUGUAGGCCUGACCAUUUGUCCCUUUUGCCGCAGACGGUCAACAAUCCGCUAGCUGUCUUGCUCUGACUGGUGCACUGGACAUGAUUUCAAUGAGAGUCAUCAUACUGAUUGUUUAAUUCAAACAUGAAUUUCAGUUUGUUCGUUAGAGUACUAACUUAGCUGUGUAUUUACAGUGGACGUAGUGGUGCGUCGCAUGCGGUAGACUAGGUAUUUCCAUAUAUACACUAUGUUUACAGAAUUGCGGCCGGUGAAGCAACAUAGCUGAUGAGUAAAUAGCGCUAGUUCUUCAGACAAAUAACUUUAUUUUCAACCUAUAAAGCAUAUUUAGCUGUAGGUGGGGCCAUUUAGCUGUAAGAUCUGGCUUUGGUUCUGUUAAGCCCUUAGAGUAAUGAAUUUCAGAGUGAAGACCAUAGCGCCUUUUCCUAGUCGAGUAUCGGGCAGCUGUAUGUCUUUUCAGAAAUGCACAUGUCUUCUUUAGUAUGUCAUUGUGAUUGCUUUUAAGAUAGGCAAUAAACUCAUAACCUUUAGAAAAAGGAGCAUCUGUAAAUUCAGAUUUCACUAUUUCAGAGUCAGCCAGACCAUGAUUGAGCUUAAGGAUUGUGCUGCGGAUGCGGCCUGUGCAGUUCCGGGAGAAAGUCACUGUCUUGGGCAUUGCGGUCUGGUAUCAGGUCUGGAUGAUCCUUGCCUGACUCCGGGUUUGUGUACACCUCAAUCCGACUCCCUGUCCGGUACCAUGGCCGCAGUGGUGCAGCCCUUGUGGACGAUCCAUCGACAUCCUGAAAGGUCAACACUUCACCAAGCUGGGAAAAUUGAUCCUGAUAGUCAUCCCCAGGUAGUGAAAUGAAUGUACACUGAACUACAGAGGAAUCACACCCAAAUGACUUUUCUGACAUUAGUGUGGCCCCUCGGGCAGGAAUUCCUUAGCAAACAUGCUUUUUUGCAUGGGGACUGUGGCAUUUUUGCAAAACUUAAGCUUUCAACGCUGGAUUUUAAAGAGAACACUUAAUAAAAUGAAGCCAACAGGACUUAUUUUAAUGAGAGAGACUAUCUGGAUGAGCAACAAAUGUCACAUUGUGUCGUAAGCUGUUGAAGGAGCGAUUUGCGCCAUUUCAAGUGUUAAUUUUGGGUAGCAGGCUUGUAUCGGCUUGAAAGCUGCAAAUUAUUCCUCUCAUCAUGAUAGCAUUAAUUAUUUUAAUUGCAAUGUGUAUGUUUAGAUUGUAAGUGAAGCUUUUAAUAAUAAUUUUCUUGAAAAACAUGA